AUCAUGGAAAUGCUCAGUACGGCGAGUGAGCGGCAAAGCUCAAAUUUGAAAUCCCCCGGGAAUUGUAAUUUGAAGAGAUUUGGGUCCGGCCGGCGGGGGUUAAGUCCACUGGAAAGUGGCGCCACAGAGGGUGACAGCCCCGUGAGCCCCUCUAAAGCCUCUACCCCAGAUCUCCAAGAGUCGAGUUGUUUGGGAAUGCAGCUCUAAGUGGGUGGUAAAUUCCAUCUAAAGCAAAAUACCGGCGAGAGACCGAUAGCGAACAAGUACAGUGAUGGAAAGAUGAAAAGCACUUUGAAAAGAGAGUGAAAAAGUACGUGAAAUUGUUGAAAGGGAAGGGCUUGCAAGCAAACACUUAAC
This 357-nucleotide ribosomal RNA is filed under the name Metschnikowia pulcherrima. Its description in RNAcentral is "eukaryotic LSU rRNA". It matches the Rfam family "Eukaryotic large subunit ribosomal RNA", at positions 67 to 441 of the family's 3401-position model. The record is from RNAcentral. Lineage: Eukaryota; Fungi; Ascomycota; Pichiomycetes; Serinales; Metschnikowiaceae.